UGCAAGGGUUAGAAGGGAAUGGGGUGCGAGACCUUCUGCAGCUAAAAUCCAAAUGUUUUGCAUGGCUUAUGCAGGAGAAUGCAGCAAGAAACUGGUGGACAUUUGUUCACAGUUGAACUGGAAGUGUUGGAAGCCAGGUCUCUUUGGCUGAGGGUGGGAGGGCACCUCCAUGGAGCUGGCAACUUGCAGGCUUUCAGCAGGGAGAAAAAGAGAACAGGAAUACCAGCAACUCCAGCACAGGACAAGUUUUGCCUGCAUUUAGAAAGCACUGCGGACCUGGUUCCUCUCACAGUCCUCCCUUAAGCAUUGACUACGGAAUAAAUAGAGGAUGUUUUCCUUCCCUGAAUAUCUAUUUCCUUCCUAAAUAAACCAUGGGUGAGUCUC
This is a long non-coding RNA of Parus major (Great Tit), 384 nucleotides long. RefSeq lists it as uncharacterized. Lineage: Eukaryota; Metazoa; Chordata; Aves; Passeriformes; Paridae. The transcript has 2 exons. The record is from RefSeq and is a predicted model, not a curated record.